RNAcentral lists this unclassified non-coding RNA (715 nucleotides) under Calopappus acerosus. Its description in RNAcentral is "partial contains external transcribed spacer (ETS) and 18S ribosomal RNA". The record is from RNAcentral. Lineage: Eukaryota; Viridiplantae; Streptophyta; Magnoliopsida; Asterales; Asteraceae.
GGGGGGAUGGGUGCUGGAUGUGGAAAAACUUGAGAUGCUUGAUUGCUUGUUGAGUGCUUGUUGCGCCCCCUUCUAGCAAGCUUUCAAGAAUCAUCUUGUCUCAUGCUGUGAGAUGGAUGGUUGUGGCAUGAAUAGUUGUGACAUCGUUGGGCUUUGCUUGGCGAUGGAACAACAUCGACGGAGCUAGCUUUGGUGUUUUCGUAUCGUUCGGUGCAUUUUGGGAGCUACGUGCGUUUGUAGUUGUAUGCUUUGCAUUUGUGCUUGGUGUAUGGCUACUUGUGUGGUAGUUUCAAAAAAUGAUUAUCGUAAAGGUGCGUGAGUGGUGUUUGGUGUGUUGCUGGUGGUUGGAUGACUGCAAUUGCAGCAACGUCCACUGGGGCAUGCCUUUUCAUUUACGGCGAAAGGUUGUUCUUCAACCCGGAGCAUUUGUUUGGGUUUUCCUGUGCUGCGUACCUACUUUAGGGUAUGUUGUUGUUUGGUUAUUGUGAUUUUUCAUUCUACGUCACUCGCGUGGCGUGGGGUGAACCAUAAUUGGCCUCUCUAUGAUCCGUGUCUUUGAUGCAUUGUGUCCUUGGCAUGGCCCAUUGAGCGUGGCUUGGUUUCAUGGAUACAGAACCUUAUGUGGGUAUGGGGUCUCUUCGGACCUUGUGUUUGCCCUCAUCAAGCGUUCUUGCUUCUAAGAAACAACCUGCGAUCGUGCAUGGACUUGUUUUGU